UAGUCAUAUGCUUGUCUCAAAGAUUAAGCCAUGCAUGUCUAAGUAUAAAUAGUAUACAGUGAAACUGCGAAUGGCUCAUUAAAACAGUUAUAGUUUAUUUGAUAAUGAACACUAUAUGGAUAACCGUGGUAAUUCUAGGGCUAAUACAUGCUAUAAACCUGACUUUCGGAAGGGUUGUAUUUAUUAGAUAUUAAGCCAAUAGUGGCAACACUAUUGCGGUGAAUUAUAGUAACUGAUCGAAUCUCAGCAAUGAGAUAAAUCAUUCAAGUUUCUGCUCUAUCAGCUUUCGAUGGUAGUGUAUUGGACUACCAUGGCAGUCACGGGUAACGGAGAAUUAGGGUUCGGUUCCGGAGAGGGAGCCUGAAAAACGGCUACCACAUCUAAGGAAGGCAGCAGGCGCGUAAAUUACCCAAUCCUGAUUCAGGGAGGUAGUGACAAGAAAUAACAACCCGGGGACCUUCUGGUCUUACGGGAUUGCAAUGAGGACAAUUUAAAUCACUUAGCGAGGAACAAUUGGAGGGCAAGUCUGGUGCCAGCAGCCGCGGUAAUUCCAGCUCCAAUAGCGUAUAUUAAAGUUGUUGCAGUUAAAAAGCUCGUAGUUGAACUUCUGGCAGUGGCUGGGUGUGGCCUCGGUCAGCCCCGUCACUGUCAUCCGUCUGCAAACCUUGCGCGGCCUUCAGUGGUCGGCAUGGGGAGUAGACAUUUUACUUUGAAAAAAUUAGAGUGUUUCAAGCAGGCAAUUGCCAGAAUACUUUAGCAUGGAAUAAUGGAAUAGGACUCUAGUCCAUUUGGUUGGUUAUUGGAAUGGAGUAAUGAUUAAUAGGGACAGUUGGGGGCAUUAGUAUUUAAUUGUCAGAGGUGAAAUUCCAGGAUUUAUUAAAGACUAACUUAUGCGAAAGCAUUUGCCAAGGAUGUUUUCAUUAAUCAAGAACGAAAGUUAGGGGAUCAAAGACGAUCAGAUACCGUCCUAGUCUUAACUAUAAACGAUACCGACUCGGGAUUGUAAAGGUACCUUCGACCUUUGCAGCACCGUAUGAGAAAUCAAAGUCUUUGGGUUCUGGGGGGAGUAUGGUCGCAAGGCUGAAACUUAAAGGAAUUGACGGAAGGACACCACCAGGAGUGGAGCCUGCGGCUUAAAUUUGACUCGCCACG
This 1152-nucleotide ribosomal RNA is filed under the name Anaerocyclidium calvum. Its description in RNAcentral is "SSU rRNA". It matches the Rfam family "Eukaryotic small subunit ribosomal RNA", at positions 21 to 1207 of the family's 1831-position model. Lineage: Eukaryota; Ciliophora; Oligohymenophorea; Anaerocyclidiidae. The record is from RNAcentral.